Molecule: ribosomal RNA, 1387 nt
Filed under: uncultured bacterium
Lineage: Bacteria
Description: bacterial SSU rRNA
Rfam family: Bacterial small subunit ribosomal RNA
Source: RNAcentral
GAAUUCGCCCUUAGAGUUUGAUCCUGGCUCAGGACGAACGCUGGCGGCGCGCCUAACACAUGCAAGUCGAACGAGCGAGAGAGAGCUUGCUUUCUCGAGCGAGUGGCGAACGGGUGAGUAACGCGUGAGGAACCUGCCUCAAAGAGGGGGACAACAGUUGGAAACGACUGCUAAUACCGCAUAAGCCCACGGGUCGGCAUCGACCAGAGGGAAAAGGAGCAAUCCGCUUUGAGAUGGCCUCGCGUCCGAUUAGCUAGUUGGUGAGGUAACGGCCCACCAAGGCAACGAUCGGUAGCCGGACUGAGAGGUUGAACGGCCACAUUGGGACUGAGACACGGCCCAGACUCCUACGGGAGGCAGCAGUGGGGAAUAUUGCACAAUGGGGGAAACCCUGAUGCAGCGACGCCGCGUGGAGGAAGAAGGUCUUCGGAUUGUAAACUCCUGUUGUUGAGGAAGAUAAUGACGGUACUCAACAAGGAAGUGACGGCUAACUACGUGCCAGCAGCCGCGGUAAAACGUAGGUCACAAGCGUUGUCCGGAAUUACUGGGUGUAAAGGGAGCGCAGGCGGGAAGACAAGUUGGAAGUGAAAUCCAUGGGCUCAAUCCAUGAACUGCUUUCAAAACUGUUUUUCUUGAGUAGUGCAGAGGUAGGCGGAAUUCCCGGUGUAGCGGUGGAAUGCGUAGAUAUCGGGAGGAACACCAGUGGCGAAGGCGGCCUACUGGGCACCAACUGACGCUGAGGCUCGAAAGUGUGGGUAGCAAACAGGAUUAGAUACCCUGGUAGUCCACACCGUAAACGAUGAUUACUAGGUGUUGGAGGAUUGACCCCUUCAGUGCCGCAGUUAACACAAUAAGUAAUCCACCUGGGGAGUACGACCGCAAGGUUGAAACUCAAAGGAAUUGACGGGGGCCCGCACAAGCAGUGGAGUAUGUGGUUUAAUUCGACGCAACGCGAAGAACCUUACCAAGUCUUGACAUCCUGCGACGGACAUAGAAAUAUGUUUUUCCUUCGGGACGCAGAGACAGGUGGUGCAUGGUUGUCGUCAGCUCGUGUCGUGAGAUGUUGGGUUAAGUCCCGCAACGAGCGCAACCCUUAUCUUUAGUAGCCAGCGGUCCGGCCGGGCACUCUAGAGAGACUGCCAGGGAUAACCUGGAGGAAGGCGGGGAUGACGUCAAAUCAUCAUGCCCCUUAUGACUUGGGCUACACACGUGCUACAAUGGCGUAAACAAAGGGAAGCAAAGCUGUGAAGCCGAGCAAAUCUCAAAAAUAACGUCUCAGUUCGGACUGUAGUCUGCAACCCGACUACACGAAGCUGGAAUCGCUAGUAAUCGCAGAUCAGAAUGCUGCGGUGAAUACGUUCCCGGGUCUUGUACACACCGCCCGUCA